This is a long non-coding RNA of Pteropus alecto (black flying fox), 207 nucleotides long. RefSeq lists it as uncharacterized. The transcript has 3 exons. NCBI's taxonomy places the organism in Eukaryota, Metazoa, Chordata, Mammalia, Chiroptera, Pteropodidae. The record is from RefSeq and is a predicted model, not a curated record.
CCUGGCUUGGCUUACAUUGCCUUAUAUUUGCUUAAGAUGAAAGGUUAAAGAGAAGGUGCACUCACAGAGAAUUCAGAGGAGGUAAAGGGGUUUCCAAAUAGCCCUUUCUUCAAUGAAAAGCCUGUACCACUGAUCCUUAGACAACCUUUUCAGUAUAGACUGACUGUGAGAGCAAGGUAGCGGGGACAUUAGAGAUCAUUCAGAGUA